AGAGUUUGAUCAUGGCUCAGAACGAACGCUGGCGGCGUGCUUAACACAUGCAAGUCGAACGUGAUCCAGAGCUUGCUCUGGUGAAAGUGGCGCACGGGUGAGUAACGCGUGGAUAACCUGCCCUGGUAUCUGGGAUAACAUCUCGAAAGGGGUGCUAAUACCGGAUAAGCCCACGGACUCCUCGGAGUCUGCGGGAAAAGGUGGCCUCUAUUUAUAAGCUACCGUAUCAUGAUGGGUCCGCGUACCAUUAGCUAGUUGGUGGGGUAAUGGCCUACCAAGGCUACGAUGGUUAGCUGGUCUGAGAGGAUGAUCAGCCACACUGGAACUGAGACACGGUCCAGACUCCUACGGGAGGCAGCAGUGGGGAAUUUUGCGCAAUGGGGGAAACCCUGACGCAGCAACGCCGCGUGAGUGAUGAAGGCUUUCGGGUCGUAAAGCUCUGUCAGAGGGGAAGAAAUGGAAACGGUCAAUACCCGUUUUUCUUGACGGUACCCUCAAAGGAAGCACCGGCUAACUCCGUGCCAGCAGCCGCGGUAAUACGGGGGGUGCAAGCGUUGUUCGGAUUUAUUGGGCGUAAAGCGCGUGUAGGCGGUUUCUUAAGUCUGAUGUGAAAGCCCUGGGCUCAACCCAGGAAGUGCAUUGGAAACUGGGAGACUUGAAUACGGGAGAGGGUAGUGGAAUUCCUAGUGUAGGAGUGAAAUCCGUAGAUAUUAGGAGGAACACCGGUGGCGAAGGCGGCUACCUGGACCGAUAUUGACGCUGAGACGCGAAAGCGUGGGGAGCAAACAGGAUUAGAUACCCUAGUAGUCC
This 810-nucleotide ribosomal RNA is filed under the name uncultured bacterium. RNAcentral describes it as "bacterial SSU rRNA". It matches the Rfam family "Bacterial small subunit ribosomal RNA", at positions 8 to 796 of the family's 1533-position model. The record is from RNAcentral.